UACGAAGGGGGCUAGCGUUGCUCGGAAUCACUGGGCGUAAAGGGUGCGUAGGCGGGUCUUUAAGUCAGGGGUGAAAUCCUGGAGCUCAACUCCAGAACUGCCUUUGAUACUGAGGAUCUUGAGUUCGGGAGAGGUGAGUGGAACUGCGAGUGUAGAGGUGAAAUUCGUAGAUAUUGGGUGGAACACCGGUGGCGAAAGCGGCUCUCUGGUCCGGACCUGACGCUGAGGCGCGAAAGCGUGGGGAGCAAACAGG
RNAcentral lists this ribosomal RNA (253 nucleotides) under uncultured bacterium. Its description in RNAcentral is "partial 16S ribosomal RNA". It matches the Rfam family "Bacterial small subunit ribosomal RNA", at positions 524 to 776 of the family's 1533-position model. The record is from RNAcentral.